CUUUACUGUAGCCUGGAAUUGGGUUCGGGCUUUGCUUGCGCAGUAUAGGUGGGAGACGUUGAUACAGUCCUUGUGGGGACUGUGGAGUCAUCAGUGAGAUACCACUCUAGCAAGGCUAGAAUUCUAACCUUCAGCCGUUAUCCGGCGGAGGAACAGUUUCAGGUGGGCAGUUUGACUGGGGCGGUCGCCUCCUAAACGAUAACGGAGGCGCGCAAAGGUUCUCUCAGGCUGGUUGGAAAUCAGCCGUCGAGUGUAAAGGCAGAAGAGAGCUUGACUGCAAGAGCUACAACUCAAGCAGGGUGGAAACACGGCCUUAGUGAUCCGACGGUUCUGCGUGGAAGGGCCGUCGCUCAACGGAUAAAAGUUA
RNAcentral lists this ribosomal RNA (367 nucleotides) under uncultured organism. RNAcentral describes it as "bacterial LSU rRNA". It matches the Rfam family "Bacterial large subunit ribosomal RNA", at positions 2099 to 2465 of the family's 2925-position model. The record is from RNAcentral.